RNAcentral lists this ribosomal RNA (162 nucleotides) under uncultured bacterium. RNAcentral describes it as "partial 16S rRNA". It matches the Rfam family "Bacterial small subunit ribosomal RNA", at positions 358 to 511 of the family's 1533-position model. The record is from RNAcentral.
GGAAUCUUCGGCAAUGGGGGCAACCCUGACCGAGCAACGCCGCGUGAGUGAAGAAGGUCUUCGGAUCGUAAAGCUCUGUUGUAAGAGAAGAACGUGUGUGAGAGUGGAAAGUUCACACAGUGACGGUAACUUACCAGAAAGGGACGGCUAACUACGUGCCAG